RNAcentral lists this long non-coding RNA (466 nucleotides) under Triticum aestivum (bread wheat). Its description in RNAcentral is "long non-coding RNA (TAES_LNC010566)". Lineage: Eukaryota; Viridiplantae; Streptophyta; Magnoliopsida; Poales; Poaceae. The record is from RNAcentral.
GCAUGAAGGAUAAACUGGUUAUAUAUUGUCGGCUAGUUCUUCACUUUUCAAUGUUGUGUUUGCUACUGUUUCCUUUUUGGCCCCAUAAGAAGGGUUCCCUUCUAUUCCAUAUGCAAAAUUUUGAAGUGGGACGAACCAGCUACCUAAGUUGGAAAUCCAAUAAGUAAAUUAUUUUUAGCCAUGGACAGGGGUGCGUGGGAGUUAGCUAUUCAUGCACUUUUCAAUGUUGUGUUUGCUACUGUUUCCUUUUUGGCCCCAUAAGAAGGGUUCCAUUCUAUUCCAUAUGCAAAAUUUUGAAGUGGGACGAACCAGCUACCUAAGUUGGAAAUCCAAUAAGUAAAUUAUUUUUAGCCAUGGACAGGGGUGUGCGGGAGUUAGCUAUUCAUGUGCCAGAACCAUGACUUGGUUUCAAUAUCUUAUGGGUUUCAACUCUAGUCUACCCAACUUGUUACUUUAGGCCAAUUUG